UGUUUCGGCUAGGGGGCCAUCCCGGCUUACCAACCCGAUGCAAACUGCGAAUACCGGAGAAUGUUAUCACGGGAGACACACGGCGGGUGCUAACGUCCGUCGUGAAGAGGGAAACAACCCAGACCGCCAGCUAAGGUCCCAAAGUCAUGGUUAAGUGGGAAACGAUGUGGGAAGGCCCAGACAGCCAGGAUGUUGGCUUAGAAGCAGCCAUCAUUUAAAGAAAGCGUAAUAGCUCACUGGUCGAGUCGGCCUGCGCGGAAGAUGUAACGGGGCUAAACCAUGCACCGAAGCUGCGGCAGCGAACGUAUCACUUAAAGCGAUUCAGCGGGUUACGAUUGACGGAGCGAAGCGACGUCAAAGCGUAUACAAAGUCGAGUCGGUUUAAGGAUACGUUCGUUGGGUAGGGGAGCGUUCUGUAAGCCUGUGAAGGUGUGUCGUGAGGCAUGCUGGA
This 451-nucleotide ribosomal RNA is filed under the name Salmonella enterica subsp. enterica serovar Corvallis. Its description in RNAcentral is "partial 23S ribosomal RNA". It matches the Rfam family "Bacterial large subunit ribosomal RNA", at positions 911 to 1277 of the family's 2925-position model. The record is from RNAcentral. Lineage: Bacteria; Pseudomonadati; Pseudomonadota; Gammaproteobacteria; Enterobacterales; Enterobacteriaceae.